Molecule: non-coding RNA, 45 nt
Filed under: Schistosoma margrebowiei
Lineage: Eukaryota; Metazoa; Platyhelminthes; Trematoda; Strigeidida; Schistosomatidae
Source: RNAcentral
AUCCAGCUGAUGAGUCCCGAAUAGGACGAAACGUGCAUCCUGGAU